AACUUUUGGCAAUGGAUCUCUUGGCUCUCGCAUCGAUGAAGAACGCAGCGAAAUGCGAUACGUAACGUGAAUUGCAGAAUUCAGUGAAUCAUCGAAUCUUUGAACGCACCUUGCGCCCCUUGGAAUUCCGAGGGGCACACCCGUUUGAGUGUCGUGAACAUCCUUCAACCUUUCUUGGUUUCUUAACCGGGGAAGGCUUGGACUUUGGGGGUCUUUCAUUGCUGGCCUCUUUGAAGCCAGCUCCUCCUAAAUGGAUUAGUGUGGUCUGCUUUGCCGAUCCUUGGCGUGAUAAGAUGUUUCUACGUCUUGGGUUUCGCACUGUCGCUUUAGACCCCGCUUCUAACCGUCUUGCAUUCAAGACAGAGUUUUAAACCUUGACCUCAAAUCGGGUGAGACUACCCGCUGAACUUAAGCAUAUCAAUAAGCGGAGGCU
This 433-nucleotide unclassified non-coding RNA is filed under the name uncultured Russula. RNAcentral's name for it is "sequence contains ITS2". The stretch from base 1 to 154 matches the Rfam family "5.8S ribosomal RNA". The record is from RNAcentral. Lineage: Eukaryota; Fungi; Basidiomycota; Agaricomycetes; Russulales; Russulaceae.